UGCGUAGGCGGAUUAAUAAGUCAGUGGUGAAAUCUUUCGGCUCAACCGAGAAACUGCCAUUGAUACUGUUAAUCUUGAGUUCGGUUGAGGUAGGCGGAAUGUGUAAUGUAGCGGUGAAAUGCUUAGAUAUUACACAGAACACCAAUUGCGUAGGCAGCUUACUAGACCGACACUGACGCUGAGGCACGAAAGCGUGGGGCGCGAACAGGAUUAGAUACCCUGGUAGUCC
RNAcentral lists this ribosomal RNA (229 nucleotides) under uncultured bacterium. RNAcentral's name for it is "partial 16S ribosomal RNA". It matches the Rfam family "Bacterial small subunit ribosomal RNA", at positions 568 to 796 of the family's 1533-position model. The record is from RNAcentral.